This 253-nucleotide ribosomal RNA is filed under the name uncultured bacterium. RNAcentral's name for it is "partial 16S ribosomal RNA". It matches the Rfam family "Bacterial small subunit ribosomal RNA", at positions 524 to 776 of the family's 1533-position model. The record is from RNAcentral.
UACGUAUGGUGCAAGCGUUAUCCGGAUUUACUGGGUGUAAAGGGAGCGUAGACGGUUGUGUAAGUCUGAUGUGAAAACCCGGGGCUCAACCCCGGGACUGCAUUGGAAACUAUGCAGCUAGAGUGUCGGAGAGGUAAGCGGAAUUCCUAGUGUAGCGGUGAAAUGCGUAGAUAUUAGGAGGAACACCAGUGGCGAAGGCGGCUUACUGGACGAUAACUGACGUUGAGGCUCGAAAGCGUGGGGAGCAAACAGG